GUGCAGCAGGCGCGAAACCUCCGCAAUGCGGGCAACCGCGACGGGGGACCCCCAGUGCCGUGGCAUCGCCACGGCUUUUCCGGAGUGUAAAAAGCUCCGGGAAUAAGGGCUGGGCAAGGCCGGUGGCAGCCGCCGCGGUAAUACCGGCGGCCCGAGUGGUGGCCGCUAUUAUUGGGCCUAAAGCGUCCGUAGCCGGGCCUGUAAGUCCCUGGCGAAAUCCCACGGCUCAACCGUGGGGCUUGCUGGGGAUACUGCAGGCCUUGGGACCGGGAGAGGCCGGGGGUACCCCUGGGGGUAGGGGUGAAAUCCUAUAAUCCCAGGGGGACCGCCAGUGGCGAAGGCGCCCGGCUGGAACGGGUCCGACGGUGAGGGACGAAGGCCAGGGGAGCGAACCGGAUUAGGAUACCCGCGUAGUCCCUA
Molecule: ribosomal RNA, 420 nt
Filed under: uncultured microorganism
Description: bacterial SSU rRNA
Rfam family: Archaeal small subunit ribosomal RNA
Source: RNAcentral